GCUACCUUAGCUCAGUUGGUAGAGUAUGUCACUCGUAAUGACAGGGUCGCGAGUUCGAUUCUCGCAGGUAGCU
This 73-nucleotide transfer RNA is filed under the name Bifidobacteriaceae bacterium. RNAcentral describes it as "tRNA-Thr". It matches the Rfam family "tRNA". Rfam says of the family: Transfer RNA (tRNA) molecules are approximately 80 nucleotides in length. Their secondary structure includes four short double-helical elements and three loops (D, anti-codon, and T loops). RNAcentral also lists the same sequence under 2 other names. Lineage: Bacteria; Bacillati; Actinomycetota; Actinomycetes; Bifidobacteriales; Bifidobacteriaceae. The record is from RNAcentral.